ACAGCCAUAUCCUGUUCAAACACCAGUUUCUGUAUGAUCACUGAAGUUAAGCAACAUCAAGCCUGGUUAGUAUGGGUGACCGCUUGGGAAUACCAGGCGCUGUAAG
Molecule: non-coding RNA, 106 nt
Organism: Acanthosepion pharaonis
Lineage: Eukaryota; Metazoa; Mollusca; Cephalopoda; Sepiida; Sepiidae
Source: the annotation of a GenBank genome assembly